This 251-nucleotide unclassified non-coding RNA is filed under the name Diaporthe cuppatea. RNAcentral describes it as "partial internal transcribed spacer region". The stretch from base 1 to 46 matches the Rfam family "Eukaryotic small subunit ribosomal RNA", at positions 1786 to 1831 of the family's 1831-position model. Lineage: Eukaryota; Fungi; Ascomycota; Sordariomycetes; Diaporthales; Diaporthaceae. The record is from RNAcentral.
AAGUCGUAACAAGGUCUCCGUUGGUGAACCAGCGGAGGGAUCAUUGCUGGAACGCGCCCCGGCGCACCCAGAAACCCUUUGUGAACUUAUACCUACUGUUGCCUCGGCGCAGGCCGGCCUUUGUCAAAAAAGGCCCCCUGGAGACAGGGAGCAGCCCGCCGGCGGCCAACCAAACUCUUGUUUCUACAGUGAAUCUCUGAGGAAAAAACAUAAAUGAAUCAAAACUUUCAACAACGGAUCUCUUGGUUCUG